Molecule: long non-coding RNA, 1503 nt
Organism: Syzygium oleosum
Lineage: Eukaryota; Viridiplantae; Streptophyta; Magnoliopsida; Myrtales; Myrtaceae
Exons: 3
Source: RefSeq, a predicted model, not a curated record
CUUUCUUUUUCUUCCCAAAUUUCCCCUCGCUUGGUCGCUCCUCCAUCACACUCUCUCUCCCACUCUCGAUACCCACGACUUGACAAUACCCUAUCGCCUCUCCUCACAUUGCUUACCACAGUGGAGAAGAGAGGAGACACUGUCGAUGGCGCCAUCAUCAUCUUCGUCUCUUUGCCUUCCAUCGCCUUCUCUCUCGGUCCAACCCCGAAAUCGCCGUUCCUUUCGCUCGCCCCCUACUUCGCGGUUCCCCAGAUGCGGACCGUCCGUACGUCCUCACCGCCUCUCUUCUUCUUCUUCUUCUUCCGAGCUUUCGAGGACGGUGAGGCUCAGAUGCACUUCGCAAAGGGAGCGAACUCGAACUCGAAGUCGAGCAGCUGUUCUCGAAUCUCAACCGGGCCACUCUCAAGCGGGAACCUGGUACGGUAUCCUCCGACCUCGCGCGACUCGCGCGUUUCUUAGCGGCUGUGUUUUCCGAUGUUGCUUUUUACUAGUGUGACGGCGUUAGUGUUCUUGUUUUGUUGUUUUCAGGAAGUUUGUCCAGUGCGGUUUUUCUAGUGGCAGGCACUAUGGUAAGGAUUCGAUUACCGAUUUGUGUGCGAUUUCUGCAGGGACUGGCCUAAGUUAGCGUCGCGUUGCGUGCAGAGUGAAUUUCAUACAUAGGUUAUGUUCAAUUUUGUCUGGAUCACAGACUCUCUGAUAUUCUGAUCUCUUACUGCCCAGUGCAAAUUCUGGGCAUGACAAAUUGCUUGUUAAGUCUGGUUGUAUUUGUCGAGAAAUUCUAGUGGCUCAUUUUUGCUGUGAUGUUCGCUUUAAUGAUUCGAAGUUUGAUACGUAGCAGCUGGGAUUCUCACCAUACCUGCCGUGACACGAGAAUCUGGAUUCAUAGCUUCCGCAAUUACCAGUGUUUUUUGUUGGAUCUUCAUGGUUGCAACAGGGUUGCUCAUUGCUGAAGUCAAUGUGAACACAAAGUGUGAACUGGGUUCUGGUGGUGUAUUGCUGGUAUCAAUGGCCAUGAGAACUAUAGGGAAGUUUGGAGUGCAAGUCGCUUGGUAAAGAAUUUCUUUGGCUACUCUUUCGGUGAGAGUGCUGUCUUAUUAUGAUUUCACCUUGAGUUAUGUAUUAGCAAGUGAAGUCAAUGUGUUUAAGAUGAUCUUGGUAUACAAAGUGUUUGAUACUAACAUAAAAUCCGCCCGCCAUUGUUAGUUGUCUCUAUAUUAAUAAAACAGUACCACAACAAAAUGGUUAUGGGCCAGGAAGGAUUUCUUUUAUUGGUCUUUGUAAACGUUUUAUGUAUGUGGCACUAUUCAUGUUUUUGUAAUGAGCUCAGAUAGGGGAUUAUCUAUUGGGCCAUCACACCAUUACAUUCUGUUGUUUUAGGAGGUUUAUUUCUAAUAAUGCUACUAUUGUUUUUAAAACGUUAUCAUCACUAGUUUGUAAACUCGACUGGGUACAAACUCUGAAAUUAAGAGGGCAUCAAGUGAUGAUAGACCAUGUGAUUUUAGC